AUAGUUAUUAAUCAUUUCAUGUUACUCUAUUUUCUUCAUGAAGUGACUCGCUUCAUUAGGGUUUACUAAUCAUUACCUUAGCUUCCCUGGUUACUAAUUUUUUCCUAUUUGUCCAACCACUCCAUUGAGGUAUGUGAGAUUAUGGUCUCAGAAUGAGACUUCACAUAUACACACAAAAGUUAACAUUUAACCAUGAUGUAAUUAAAGUUUCUUAAGGAGAAUUUUGUUCUAAGUUCACCACAGAAUUAUAAGGCUUUUUAUGUGUACAUGAUAUUACUACUCACUCCUCCUGAAAUAGAGUUUUCUGAAUUUUGUGAAAUUUUUCCUCCCUAAGGUGUUUAAGGUAGAUGUGGAAAGAAGUGUGGAAGGAAGGAUCUCUGUGAAAGUAAAAGUUAAAGAGGAACCAAUUACAGAACUGAUUUGUAGUGGACUCCAAACUCGUAGUAUUUCUUGAGUUCUUUGUUCAUAUUAUGAUGUCACACACCAAAACACCUUCAAAGUUGCAGUAUUCAGACAUACAUCAAUUUCUGGGUGCUGAAGCAUCUCAUCUCUUCAGGACCAUAGUCAUCACAGCCCUCACCACUGCCUCCCUAACUGAGAACACACUGGCUUCUUCUGCCUUCCAGCUUCAUCAUCAGUCAUAUGGAGAACACCUAUUCUGCCUCCUGGACAGGGUGGCUGUGAAGAUUAAAUGAAACUUCAGGGAGGACACAUUUAUGAAAGACUGCUCAUCGGGAAGCAAUCUGGUUUUCUAGGCCUGUGCUCUGUGGUGUGUGUCCUAGGUGUGUCAGCAUCACCCUCAAUGCCCCACUGCCUUUAUAUAAGUCAUUGAAAGAACUCAGGGCAAAAGAGAGUACAAUCCCUGGUAUAGAUCAGACAACGGUGAGUAAAUAAAUUAGCAAAGAAACAAAUGAUUCAAAUUGGCAUAUUUUUUUCCAGAAAUAUUAAGUGUGUGAAGAUUGAAUUAUACAUGGCACUCUAACUUCCACUAAUAUUACUGAUAUUAAUUAGUCAGGUUAAUUAAUAUGGACUUCCACUGAUUAUACUGAUAUCAACUAUGGACUUCACCUUCAUUGUCCACAAGAGCUGAUGACAUUUCUGAUCCUCCUUUACUACUGCUUCUGUCUUUGUUUCCACCACUUCCCCUCCACAUCUGAGCAAUCACCUUUGCUUGUUUUCCCCUUCUCUCUGCCGGUUUCUUAUCUUGUUGGACCCUUGUCAUGCCGUCAGAGAUUCUUGGCUUCUACAUGAGAACACUGACCUUUUAUGUACAUCAUUAUCAAGCCUGAAGAUUACUUCCCUCUUGUUGGUGAAUUAAUCAAUCACAGCUCAUCUUCUGUAACCUUCGUGUCUUUGGCUCCUCCUAACUACAGUCAGAAUGCCCAGUCUAUUGCCCUUUUUUCUUUUCUAACAGACAACUAUCCUAGUGCUUGAACACUAGACCCUGGCUAACAAAAGUUAUGGUGUAUGCUAUGAAGCCCAUCUACUGGAAAUCACUUUUCCAACUCACACACAAGACAGUUCCUGUAUGGAUUCAAAUGACAAGGGAGUACACAGUUUAGUGACCAAGUUAACUUGAUUGUAAUAGAUUUUCUUUUCUUUUCUUAUUUUUAUUUAUUUUUAUUUUUUCGACAGGCAGAGUGGACAGUGAGAGAGAGAGACAGAGAGAAAGGUCUUUUGCCAUUGGUUCACCCUCCAAUGGCCGCCACGGCCGCCACGCUGCAGCUGGCGCACAUGCUGAUCCGAAGGCAGGAGCCAGGUACUUAUCCUGGUCUCCCAUGGGGUGCAUGGCCCAAGCACUUGGGCCAUCCUCCACUGCACUCCCUGGCCACAGCAGAGAGCUGGCCUGGAAGAGGGGCAACCGGGACAGAAUCUGACGCCCCGACUGGGACUAGAACCUGGUGUGCCGGCACCGCAAGGCGGAGGAUUAGCCUAGUGAGCUGCGGCGCUGGCCGAUUUUCUUUUCUUUUUAAAAUAGAUUUUCUUUUCUUUUUAAAAGACUUUCAUUCAUUUGAAAGGUAGAGUGACAGAGAGAAAGGCAGACAGACAGAAAGAGAUCUUCCAUCUGUUGGUUCCCUCCCCCAAAUGGUCACAACAGCAAGGGCUGGGCCAGGCAGAAGCCAGGAACCAGAAACUCCAUCUGAAGUUCUCACAUGGGUGACAGGGGCCUGAGUACUUGGGCCAUAUUCCACUACUUUCCCAGGCACAUUAGCAGGGAACUGGAUUAGAAGCAGAGAAGCCAGAAGUGAAACAACAGCUCUGAUGCUGGUAUCAUAAGUGGUACCUUAACCCUCUGUACCACAAGACCAGCCCUCAGAUUUUCUCAAACCUUUUGCAACAAGAACAGCAAAAAAUAUUUAAUCAAUUAUCUGCAGCAAUAUAUGGCCAAAAUAUAGUAAGUUUAGGUCCUGAUAUUAAUAAUACUUAAUGUCCAAAGGCUCAAUUUGCUAGAAGAUAAUCCUAAAAAUGUGAUUGCUGAUGGUUGAGAAUUACUAGGCAACUGAAUUACCAACUGGUAUCUUGAAGGAA
Molecule: non-coding RNA, 2529 nt
Organism: Oryctolagus cuniculus (rabbit)
Lineage: Eukaryota; Metazoa; Chordata; Mammalia; Lagomorpha; Leporidae
Source: RefSeq, a predicted model, not a curated record